CCCUAGUCCGUAUCGUCUUCGCUUCAUGGUUUCCCUCUGUCUAUAGGAAAGAGAGGUUUUGUUUGCUAAACAGCGCUCUCUCUCCAGGAAAGUGAAGCUUUGUUUGCUAAACAGUUUGGUUUUGUUUUUUCAGCCCCAAUCUCUCAUCGGUCUUCUUCUCUCCUACCUCCACUGCUCUUGCAUUUUCUAAGCAAAAGGCAAGUUUUUUUUGGGUAUCAUGUCCAAAAGGGCCACUCUUCUCUCUCUAAGAGCCAUGGCGUCUUUCUCACAGGUAAGUCCCGCCCACCAUCGGGCUUCUCUCUCGAAGCUUACAGACUCUGCACAAAUACCAUCAUUUUCUACAAAGCCCACCACUUUGAUUAGAUACCUUUCCACAGCAGCUGCAAGAACAGCCUAUCAAACUCAAACUCAUAGUUCCAGAGAGAGCCCAAGAGAUUUUCAGCAAUACCCUAAUGAUUUUUACAGAGAAAUGGGGGGUUUUAACAAUGUUGGUCCUGUUAAAUCUGAUCAAGAAGCAAUAGAGCAGGCCCAAGAUACAGGGCCAAACGGUACUAUAGAGGAGCUGGAUGCUUUUAUGAAAGAUGGUAAGCUCAAAGAAGCUCUAGAAGUUUUGGGGUUAAUGGAAAAACGGGGAGUUUUUGUGGAUAGUGGAUGUUAUCUGAGGCUUUUGAAGGCAUGUGGUGAUUAUAAGUCUAUAGAGGAAGGCAAAGCUGUUCAUGGGCACAUAGAAAGGUCUAGCAAUUCAAGAAUUGAAGUGAGAGUUUAUAAUCAGAUUCUGGAAAUGUAUUCAAAAUGUGGGGCUAUGGAUGAUGCAUAUCAAUUAUUUGAGAAAAUGCCUCAAAGAAACUUGACAUCAUGGGACACCAUGAUACAUGGGUAUGCAAAUAACCUAUUGGGAGAGGAGGCCAUAGAUUUGUUUACUCGUUUUAAAUUGGCAGGUUUAAAGCCUGAUGGCCAAAUGUUUCUUGGGGUUUUCUUGGCUUGUGGUUUCUUGGGAGCAGUAGAUGAGGGGCUUUUGCAUUUGGAAACAAUGAGUAGAGACUUUGGAAUUACACCCAACAUGGACCAUUAUGUGGGCAUGGUUGAUUUGUUUGGAAAAUCGGGUUACCUUAAUGAAGCACUAGAAUUCAUUGAGAACAUUCCAAUUGAACCUAGUGUAGAUGUAUGGGAGAGAUUAAUGAAUCUAAGUAGAGUUCAUGGUGACCAAGAAAUGGGGGAUGUGUGUGCUAAAUAUGUCGAACUAUUGGAUCCGUCUAGGCUUAACGAACAGUCAAAAAAGGGUCUUUUGCCCAUUAAAGUUGAAGCAAAGGAAAGGGAGGUGAAGAAAAGUAGUGCAGAAAGCCUUAGAGAGGUAAGGAGCAGGGUUCAUGAGUAUAGAGCGGGGGACACUUCCCACCCUGAGAAGGACAAGAUUUAUGCUCAAUUGAAGGGUUUGAGUGGGCAAAUGAAGGAAGCUGGUUAUGUACCAGACACUCGUUUUGUGCUCCAUGAUGUGGACCAGGAAUCAAAGGAGGAAGCUUUGCUUUAUCACAGUGAGAGGCUUGCUAUUGCUUAUGGUCUCCUUAGUAGCCCAGCUUGUUCUCCAAUUCGUAUAAUUAAGAACCUUAGGAUUUGUGGAGAUUGCCACAGUGCAUUGAAGAUAGUAUCAAAACUUGUUGGAAGGGAGCUCAUUGUGAGAGAUGCCAAGAGAUUUCAUCAUUUCAAGGAUGGUUUGUGUUCUUGCAGGGAUUAUUGGUAAACAAGUCCUGAAAACAAAGUUACAUAGAGAAGUGGGUGCAAAAGCGGAAAUUUCGGUGAGGACUGAGGCUAUGGACCUUCAUAUGGGUAAGCUUCUGUAGGUCUCAAUUCUAAUUUGCAAAUGGAAUUGCAAUUUGGAAACUGAAUCAGGCAAGGGAAACAAAACUUCUUGUAGAACGCAUACGACCGAUUGUAAAGAAAAGUCAUAGUACUUCCACAGUAAUGGGUAGCUCAGUGCAUUAUAUAGGCAAGGCUUCCCAAAAAAUUUCUUCAAGAACUCAAGGACAACGAGCUAGGAAAUGCGAAAGGUUUACGGUGGAGAGAUCUUCACUAUGUACUAGUCCUAACAGGAGAGGAUCCGAAGGAGUAUUCCUAAAGAUGAGUCAUUCUCCAAAUGAAGUUCUCAUCCAAUCAUGUUUGAGGAUAGUGUGGAUGCCAAUAAUUUCUGAUCUCUAUUGGAAUCAAUUUUUCAAAGAUUUAAGUGAUGCCCAUGACGAGGCUGUUCCUUUUGACAAAGUUUGGGGAUCGUCAGCUCGUGGAUGUAGCAAUAUUGUUCUUUUCAGCCAUUAAUCAUUUAUUCUUGUGCCUGUACUCUUCAAUUUAUGAAGAGCAGUGUAAUGGGAUAUUUUGGGUGACUCAUGGCAUGGAGUUCAAUAGUGAAUAUCACAUUUAUUUCAUGUGGGUUAAGGACUUUCUCAUCUAUAUUGGUUUAUCUAGAUAUAGUCAGACUUUGGAAUCAAGCAAACUACUUCCCCCAAUUGUUUCAAGUAAUCGGGUUCACAGCCUUCAUUUGGUGAGUUUAAGUAGCUUUAUUUGUAUGAUAUUUUUCAAGAUAAAAAAUUGAUAUUAUUGCAACUAGAUUUCUGUGAUGGCAACUGUUAUUGAUUCAUCUCCUUCUGGGUUUCAAUAUUUUGUAAUUGUGGGAUGAUGUUUUGCAGGGAUAUGCAAUACUUGAAUAUAUUAAAAUAUUUUUCCUUUCAUAAGAAUCUACUACAAUGGAUGAGAAUUCUAAAAUAAUAUUAUGAGAUUGGAUUCAGUCGAAGAAUAUACAUCAGAUGAUUUUUUUCCUGAUAAUAUGCCUUUACUCUAAUUUAGGAUAAUUGAGCAUCUCACAUUAUUCAUCACUCAUCAGCUGUCUUGUUCCUCAUUGAAUAGAAACUGGGCUACAAAAUAGGCUGCAUGGAUAUAUGUUAGAUUUCUCAAGCACUAGUGUUUUCAGUCGAUGUUGUCUAAGGUUUGAGCCGACUACCAUACUACUACCUUCUAUUGUGGAUUAUUUUGUCAUGAUAUCUACCUGCGAGCUCUUCUGUGAUUCUAUUUCUAACUGCACCCUUUUAUAAUACUUUCAUCGACGUGAGUUGGAGCGAAAUGCUCCUUUGAAUGGGAAGAGUUAAGAUUGUUUGUCUAAGGCCUCCUCAAGAGUUCAAUCACCCUUGAUGAUUUUCCCAACAUCCCGUGAUCCUCUUUGCUUCGAAUUGCAACUAAGGAAUUGCUUCAGUGGUUAGAGAUGUGCAUCCUAACAAGAUGUUUGCGGGCAUGCCUGCUGUGGAUGUCGUAUGUGUGAAGCCAAAUUACAUGUGUGCCACUGUGGCAGAUAUGCGUGUUGUAUUUUUACUUUUCAUUAUCUUGUUUUUAGCUAAUCAGAUUAAUCCAAUGGUUGUAGUGAAUGAGUCAUUGUAGAAGCUAUUCUCGUAAAAGGAAUUGAAAAUCCUUUUGGUUAGAGAAAGAAAGUGAGAGUAUGAGUUCUCUUGUGGGUUUAUUGUGUGCCACGUUCAAGAGAUAAAGAGUGUGAAAGAGGAACCCAUUGCAUUGGGUUUAGCUGUGCUGUAUAAGGGACAUUUUAGGGAAAGAAAGAGCUCUUUGUUUGAGGGCCUUGUUUCUCAUUGUAACCUCGUAUCAUUCUGCCAAGGA
Amborella trichopoda is the source of this 3648-nucleotide RNA transcript. It is a transcript of the gene named pentatricopeptide repeat-containing protein At2g25580-like, with no coding region annotated. The record is from RefSeq and is a predicted model, not a curated record. Lineage: Eukaryota; Viridiplantae; Streptophyta; Magnoliopsida; Amborellales; Amborellaceae.